GCCCCGAUAGUGUAGCGGCCUAUCAUACAGGCCUGUCGAGCCUGUGACACGGGUUCAAAUCCCGUUCGGGGCG
Transfer RNA from Thermoplasmatales archaeon E-plasma, 73 nucleotides. It matches the Rfam family "tRNA". Rfam says of the family: Transfer RNA (tRNA) molecules are approximately 80 nucleotides in length. Their secondary structure includes four short double-helical elements and three loops (D, anti-codon, and T loops). Lineage: Archaea; Methanobacteriati; Thermoplasmatota; Thermoplasmata; Thermoplasmatales. The record is from Rfam.